Daphnia pulex (common water flea) is the source of this 1728-nucleotide long non-coding RNA. RefSeq lists it as uncharacterized. NCBI's taxonomy places the organism in Eukaryota, Metazoa, Arthropoda, Branchiopoda, Diplostraca, Daphniidae. The transcript has 3 exons. The record is from RefSeq and is a predicted model, not a curated record.
AGAGAAUCUUCUGCCAUAAGAGACCGGUAACCACCGGUAACCAUAGUUAAUGGCUCUGGUAAUAUAGCUAGGGUUUAGUAACGGUUCACCGUACCCAUUUUUACAAUAAUUUCUGUGAUGACGCCACAUCUGGCAUCUUACCCCCCCCCAAAAAAAAAAUGUGCCCAACAGAGAGGCUCGCGGCCUCGUUCCCACUCAGUCCAAGUUUGCCCCUCUUGUAGUGACGGCCACGUUGCAUCUCUCUCCGUUCCUAAUAAAAAUUGCCUUCCGCUUAGUUUCAGCGUACUUCACUUCAUCACAAUUACCAUACUACUUAUGAACAGAAUAGCCAAACCUCGAGAGAGCGUCAAGUUUUCAUCUACCAAUAAACCUUAAUUCAGUUUUUAAUUUGAAUUUGAAGAUGGGGGGGGGUGAGGGAUAUGCGCCAAACUAUAAAACAAAUCCCAUGCUCGUUUGGGUACAUACAUUAAUUCCUGUCAUACUUUCAACGUUUUCAACGACAGAAUUUUUUAAAUUAUGUGUUAUGUUUUAUCGCAUCAGCUGUGUUGUCAGUUAGCAUUUGAAUGCUCCUAGAUAAUGCAGCGUAAGAGUCGACGGUCCAAGUUACUGGGCAUCCUUCAUUAACCUCGCCGCCGAGGCAUCAGCAUGGAGUAAAAUUUUUGGCUUGCAGUUCAGGUUUGGAAGACCCCGAAAUCGGUUGCGGAUCAGACGAUAUUGGAGGGGCCAAGCCUAAGCGAUCGCUGAAGUUUCUUUCCGAUGGAAACAACUCCCUCACAUCUAGAAUUCCUAGUUUUUUCCCCUUAGCCAAACCAAGGAAAGAAUUUUUUGCAUCCCUUGCUGCCAUUUUCAAUGACAAGACUGACAGCAACAGAAACCACUCGCUUCUCAAAAAGAAAUCGACUUCUACGGAAAAGUUAUUGCAAGAGCCUAGCGUUGGUGAUACUUUCAGUGAUGGCGUCGAAUGCGUUUCACGUGGAGUUCGAUGCAAUCAAUGUGACUGAAGCUCAUGUUCAUCGGUAAAUUCAUUCUAUCGAAUAUUCACUCCAUUACUUGAGUUAUUCGUAUUGGUCUUCCGCUUGUCUCCCUUUCUUUUUCAUCAAUGUAAUUGAACUUAGAAAUUUCACGACAUUUGUUUAGUUCACAGAUACCUCAUUUUCUGUUGUGUUCUUGCUAUCGUUUAACGUUACUUGAACGUUCUAAAGACGUGCUUUAAAAUUCUUAAAGUUUUGGUAUCUGUAACCACUGUAUUUCUGCAAAAAUUACUUUAGAUGUUUUUCAUUAUCCAUAAACCUUAAACUAUGAUCAAUUUUGUAUUGGGCGCGUUCUGUUUUAUUUCUAGAUAUACAAUAAUUGAGUAAUUUUUCCUUGUAUCAUUGAUAAAGGCACGUGUAGAUAUCAGGAAGUUUGUGAAGAUUGGCAGGCCAGGUUACAGAGUCACAAAGCAGCGUGAUCCAAACUCUGGUCACCUGAGCAUGCUUUUCAAAGUUGACUAUCCAGAAAUCGCUGAAGGAGUUGCACCUAAGCAUCGAUUCAUGUAAGCCUAUGAGCAGCGUAUUGAAACUCCAGAUCGUCGUUGGCAGUAUCUUUAGUUUGCUGCAGAACCAUAUGAAACAAUCGCUUUCAAAAUUCCUUCUCGAGAGGUAGACAAGAGCGAAGGCAAAUUUUGGUGCCGCUCAAUCCUAUUCACCGGUGCUUGUUCAAUAUCUUCCAGGAAUUUUUCGUGUAGAU